Molecule: long non-coding RNA, 273 nt
Filed under: Medicago truncatula (barrel medic)
Lineage: Eukaryota; Viridiplantae; Streptophyta; Magnoliopsida; Fabales; Fabaceae
Description: long non-coding RNA (MTRU_LNC008401)
Source: RNAcentral
GAACAUGUCUUCUGGAUUUUCUUCCGAUGCCACUUUCUCUACCAUGAUCUCCUUUGUCUCAAUCAUGUCUCUGACGAAGUGCAAACGAAUGUCAAUGUGUUUUGUUCUUUCAUGAUAUACCUGAUGAUUUGCCAAAUGAAUGGCACUUUGGCUAUCACAAUGUAUCUUCACACACCCUUGACUAAUCCCCAUUUCUCCAAUCAUACCUUUCAACCAUAUGGCUUCCUUGACCCCUUCAACAAGGGCUAUGUACUCUGCUUGAGUUGUUGAAAG